Non-coding RNA from Meleagris gallopavo (turkey), 925 nucleotides. Lineage: Eukaryota; Metazoa; Chordata; Aves; Galliformes; Phasianidae. The record is from RefSeq and is a predicted model, not a curated record.
UUGUGAGGUCACAUGGAUGAAAAGCACAGAAAACUUAUAAGAAGCUCAGAAGGUGACAGAGCAGUGAAUAGCUGAAUAUUCUGUACAGAGUGCAUAAACUCUCAAAUGAUCAAACUGAGAAAAACAGUUUACAGGUGCUUUAAAAGAAGGCCAGAAGAUUACACAGGAGAGACAGAAGACAAGCAUCUUAAUAUAGAUCAUUCCUAAGACAACUGAUCGAAGUAUUUUUUAACUAGUCCUAAUGAAAGCCGCAGCAGUUGAAAACAGAGAUCUAUAUUUACACGAUAAUUUAUGUUUCUAAUAAUGCCAUUUAUAUGAAUAACAUGUUUGUUCUAACUGGAUAAUAAACUAUAUGCUAAGACCAUAGCAAGCCAGAGGCACAUUAGUCUCUGCAUUUCUAAUCAAAUGUGGCUCUAGAGGCUCGGCAUUACCAUCCUGAUUUUACAUCACUUCAUUGUUUUGCAAGGGCAGGAACACGGGGGGUGGGAAGUCACCUGAAAUCAUAAAGGAAACAUGUAAAGCAAUAUUUCCCAGCCUGUUAGCUUUCUGAAUCUCAUUUCUAUGUCUUUGCAUAAUGAGAAGGAAAAUAAAAAGAAACUCAUUUGGAAAUGAAUGACCUUUGCACUGAUGUAAUCAAAGCAAAGCCCUUGGGAAUCACUUCAGAUGAAAGAUGCUAUAUGAAAGUUUGUUAUUAGUGUUUUUCAGUUACAAUGACACUAUCUUGGAGUUAUGGAAAAACUGAAAGAACUAGAAUACUUGUGAACUAGGCUUGUAAAAUCAUGUUAGGGCUAUUAUUACUUUGAAAACUUAAGCAUGAUGAGACAGUGGAUGUAAUUUUAGAAGAAUCUUUAUAGAAAAUAAUUAUGUCAUUUAUUAGCUUAUAUUCCUACGUAUACCAGGAAAGGAAAAGGGUGAAUUAUUUUGA